AGAGGAGAAGCAACAAGUUGUAGGAAGUUAACUUAUCUAGUCUCAGACGCUGGAGGCACCUGCAUUUCUAGUCACUUCAGUUCUGGCCAAAUUGUUAUCAACUCUAGUUUCUGAGGGACCGCCAGCCCAGGAUUCCUAUUGGGGUCACCUUUGUGCCUCCCUAUCUUAAGAGCACACUUGGGCGGGUCGGGGCGGGACGUGCUGGGUGUAGGUGACUCAACACCGGACAGUUUUGCUUCCAGAGGCUGACACGCUCCUGCGCGGUAGUUGUUAAAGGGUUGGGACACGAAGAUACUCUUCGCCUAUUCGGGAUCUCCCAUUGUGGGAAGGAGGCUGAGUGGUCCCGGCCACCGGGUGAAGGGAGAACGGGAACACAGCGCUGUCAUCGCCGGAGAGCUGCGAGCCCCGACUUCCUCGCCAGGCUCUCCAGUACAUUCCGAGGCUCCACCCCGGUAACGCCACGCUGACGUCCGCGCGUCGGAGGCCGCCAUAGGUGCGCGUCGGCGCCCAGGAGGACGUGUGGCGCGUGGACUACAUCAGGUCCAGCCCUGCGGGACCCCAGCAGGCGCUUCCGGGCAAGGUUCUGUGCACCUGUUUUCUCCUUCUACGCGAGUAUCUUUCCCCUCCGGAAAGAAUGGGAUAUGCCUGUGUCCAAAGGACAAGAAGAUGCGCGCCAGCAAGCCUAAGUUAACCACAGCGCGGAAGUUGAGCCCAAAGCAAGAGCGUGCCGAGCACCUUUAAGCUGUUUGUAAGCCCACGUGACUCACCAAGUGCGGGCCCCAGCGGUCACGUGACGGCGCGCGCGCCCUCGCGCAGGGAGAGCCGGCGGUGCGCGCGCCUUCGCCGCUGCCUCCCACCCACCCCCUCGACGGGAGGGUGAGGCGCGGCGCAGUGAUCGGGCGGCCGGGGUCCUGUGCGCGUGCGCAGCGAACAGCUGUCACCUAGUGCGGAACAAGUCUCCCAAAUUUCCCAAAUCUCCCUGGGCCGGAGGCCACUGUCUUCUUCUCUUCCUCCUCCACCGAGUCGUGCUCUCGCCCCAACCCGCGCGCCAGACGCUGCCCUAGCCAUCAUGGAGGUGGCCGAGGUGGAAAGUCCUCUGAACCCCAGCUGUAAGAUAAUGACCUUCAGACCUUCCAUGGCGGAGUUCCGGGAGUUCAACAAAUACCUUGCAUACAUGGAGUCUAAAGGAGCCCAUCGCGCGGGUCUUGCAAAGGUGAUUCCUCCUAAGGAGUGGAAGCCAAGACAGUGCUAUGAUGACAUUGAUAAUUUGCUCAUUCCAGCACCAAUUCAGCAGAUGGUCACAGGGCAGUCAGGACUGUUCACUCAGUACAACAUCCAGAAAAAAGCGAUGACUGUGAAGGAGUUCAGGCAGCUGGCCAACAGUGGCAAAUAUUGUACUCCAAGAUACUUGGAUUACGAAGAUUUGGAGCGCAAGUACUGGAAGAACUUAACUUUUGUGGCACCUAUCUAUGGUGCAGAUAUUAAUGGGAGCAUAUAUGAUGAGGGUGUGGAUGAAUGGAACAUAGCUCGCCUCAAUACAGUCUUGGAUGUGGUUGAAGAAGAGUGUGGCAUUUCUAUUGAGGGUGUAAAUACCCCAUAUCUCUAUUUUGGCAUGUGGAAGACCACGUUUGCAUGGCACACCGAAGACAUGGACCUCUAUAGCAUUAAUUAUCUCCACUUUGGAGAGCCCAAGUCUUGGUAUGCCAUACCUCCGGAGCAUGGAAAACGACUUGAAAGACUAGCUCAAGGUUUUUUCCCAAGCAGCUCCCAAGGGUGUGAUGCAUUUCUUCGCCACAAGAUGACAUUGAUUUCUCCGUCAGUAUUGAAGAAAUACGGUAUUCCCUUUGACAAGAUAACCCAGGAGGCUGGAGAAUUCAUGAUCACUUUCCCAUAUGGCUACCAUGCUGGUUUUAAUCAUGGUUUCAACUGUGCAGAAUCUACAAAUUUUGCUACUGUCAGAUGGAUUGACUAUGGAAAAGUUGCCAAAUUGUGCACUUGCAGGAAAGACAUGGUGAAGAUUUCAAUGGAUAUCUUUGUGAGGAAAUUUCAGCCAGACAGAUAUCAGCUUUGGAAACAAGGAAAGGAUAUAUACACCAUUGAUCACACGAAGCCUACUCCAGCAUCCACCCCUGAAGUAAAAGCAUGGCUGCAGAGGAGGAGGAAAGUAAGAAAAGCAUCCCGAAGCUUCCAGUGUGCUAGGUCUACCUCUAAAAGGCCUAAGGCUGAUGAGGAAGAGGAAGUGUCAGCUGAAGUCGAUGGGGCAGAGGUCCCUAACCCCGACUCAGGCACAGAUGACCUCAAGGUCAGUGAAAAGUCAGAAGCAGCAGUGAAGCUGAGGAACACAGAAGCAUCUUCAGAAGAAGAGUCAUCUGCUAGCGGGAUGCAGGUGGAGCAGAAUUUAUCAGAUCAUAUCAAACUCUCAGGAAACAGCUGCUUAAGUACAUCUGUAACAGAAGACAUAAAAACUGAGGAUGACAAAGCUUAUGCAUAUAGAAGUGUACCUUCUAUAUCCAGUGAGGCUGAUGAUUCCAUUCCAUUGUCUAGUGGCCAUGAGAAGCCCGAGAAAUCAGACCCAUCCGAGCUUUCAUGGCCAAAGUCGCCUGAGUCAUGCUCAUCAGUGGCAGAGAGUAAUGGUGUGUUAACAGAGGGAGAAGAGAGUGAUGUGGAGAGCCAUGGGAAUGGCCUUGAACCUGGGGAAAUCCCAGCGGUCCCCAGUGGAGAGAGAAAUAGCUUCAAAGUCCCCAGUAUAACAGAGGGAGAGAACAAAACCUCUAAGAGUUGGCGCCAUCCACUUAGCAGGCCUCCAGCAAGAUCGCCGAUGACUCUUGUGAAGCAGCAGGCGCCAAGUGAUGAAGAAUUGCCUGAGGUUCUGUCCAUUGAGGAGGAAGUGGAAGAAACAGAGUCUUGGGCGAAACCUCUCAUCCACCUUUGGCAGACGAAGUCCCCUAACUUCGCAGCUGAGCAAGAGUAUAAUGCAACGGUGGCCAGGAUGAAGCCACACUGUGCCAUCUGCACUCUGCUCAUGCCGUACCACAAGCCAGAUAGCAGCAAUGAAGAAAAUGAUGCUAGAUGGGAGACAAAAUUAGAUGAAGUUAUUACGUCGGAGGGAAAGACUAAGCCCCUCAUACCAGAGAUGUGUUUUAUUUAUAGUGAAGAAAAUAUAGAAUAUUCUCCACCCAAUGCCUUCCUCGAAGAGGAUGGAACAAGUCUUCUUAUUUCCUGUGCAAAGUGCUGCGUACGGGUUCAUGCAAGUUGUUAUGGUAUUCCUUCUCAUGAGAUCUGUGAUGGAUGGCUGUGUGCCCGGUGCAAAAGAAAUGCGUGGACAGCAGAAUGCUGUCUCUGCAAUUUGAGAGGAGGUGCUCUAAAGCAAACGAAGAACAAUAAGUGGGCCCAUGUCAUGUGCGCCGUUGCGGUCCCAGAAGUUCGAUUCACUAAUGUCCCAGAAAGGACACAAAUAGAUGUAGGCAGAAUACCUUUACAGAGGUUAAAAUUGGGAAGGCUGGGAAUCUAGACACAGCAACAAUAACAACAACAACAAUAACAAUGAAGGCUCACUGUGAAAACAUCAAUUCAUUAGGAAAGUUACAUCCCCUCUGCCACUGUUUCAGAUGCUGUUUCUCAUUCUCCAUGGGAGCAGCCAGCAUCAUGUUUAGGAUGGGGAUACAAUAACCUGAGCUCCUGAUUGAGUCAGACCCUGGACUUUCCCUUUCGUAUCUGUCAUUUUCCUCUGGAUCCUCACACCUUUGUGUUUAAUUUUUUUAAAUUUCAUUUGUUGACUUCCUAUGUGGGGUAAAAUGACUUCCUUUGAUUAAUGUACUUUCUGUAUCCUAGAGUUUCCCUUUCCCUUUGUGAUUUAGUCCAACGUGUCCUACUACAGCCUCAAAAAUUGUCAUUGGAAUCAAAAGCUUUCCAAGGUGCAUCAGGUUAAUGAUUUGGAUGCAUCCUGAGGUUGUCUCCUGUAGCAUGGAGGCAUUAUAAUAGGAGUCUCAGAAGUUACACCAUUUUUCUAUAGCACAUCACAGGCCCAGAGGCUUGAAUCUAAGAGAAUCCACCCUAUGUCUGUCAGCCUGAAUCCUACCUUCUUGCUGCACAACAAAGCAACUGAACGUAUUUUGAGUUUAGGUGAAAACUAUCAGUCAUUCAUCAAAGUUCUAUCUGGGUGAUAUAGGCUAUCGAAAACAGAUGUGGACACUGGGCUGACAGAUGUUGAGAACGGACCUGUUGCUGAAGCUCAUGUUAUCACACAUGCUGUGGGAAGAGAGGUCAUUGGCAUUCAAGAUGCAACACCUACAAUAUGGUGAAUUAAAGAUGCCAUUUGCGUGGAUCUUGGAUUAGUGCUUGUAAUUUGAUUUGCGUAUUUACAUUGCUUUGGACAUAUAAUUGUCAUCCUAUGCCCCUCCCCUCAACUACGGCUGAAAAAAAAGUAAAUAUGAAAUAGAAUAGCAUGCUAUUUAGCAUUUAUCUGUAAGCUAUACUAAUGUUUUUGUGUUGAAUAUUCUUUUUCAUUUUGGCAGCUCUGCACUAGGCCAGACAUUGUCUAGUAAUCUUCCAACAACUCUUUCAUAUUGAUAUCUUUAUUCCCAUUUUAUAUUUUGUAAAACUGGGGCUAAGAAGAGUUCAAUAAUUUGAGCUCAUACAGCCACUAAGUGACAGAACUGCUCAACCAUUUUGCUGGCUGUACUGCCUCUGGAAUAUGGUGGAGUCAAGAGAAGUGGGAGGUCUAUGACUCCCAGGAACACCUUUAAGCUGCCUCAUCAAUCCUGAGUCUCAUCAUCAUUGCCUGGACUUCACAAUAAAUGCAUCUUCUGCAGACACCGGGUUAAGAGGGUCUCUGGAGCCUGCAUCCAGUGUUCCUACGGUCGCUGCCCGGCCUCCUUCCAUGUCACGUGUGCCCAUGCUGCUGGGGUACUGAUGGAGCCUGAUGAUUGGCCUUAUGUGGUGAACAUUACAUGCUUUCGACAUAAGGUCAACCCCAAUGUGAAGUCCAAGGCUUGCGAGAAGGUCAUUUCCGUGGGUCAAACGGUCAUCACGAAGCAUCGGAACACCCGGUAUUACAGUUGCAGAGUGAUGGCUGUGACAUCGCAGACCUUCUAUGAGGUCAUGUUUGAUGAUGGCUCCUUCAGCAGAGACACAUUUCCUGAGGAUAUCGUGAGCCGAGACUGUCUGAAGCUGGGCCCACCUGCCGAGGGAGAAGUCGUCCAAGUCAAGUGGCCUGAUGGCAAACUCUAUGGAGCAAAAUAUUUUGGAUCAAAUAUUGCCCACAUGUACCAGGUUGAGUUUGAAGAUGGAUCCCAGAUAGCAAUGAAGAGAGAGGACAUCUACACGUUAGAUGAAGAGUUACCCAAGAGAGUGAAAGCUCGAUUUUCCACAGCCUCUGACAUGCGAUUUGAAGACACAUUUUAUGGAGCAGACAUUAUCCAAGGGGAGAGAAAGAGACAAAGAGUGCUGAGCUCCAGGUUUAAGAAUGAAUAUGUGGCCGACCCUGUAUAUCGCACUUUUUUGAAGAGCUCUUUCCAGAAGAAGUGCCAGAAGAGACAGUAGUCUGCAUACAUCGCUGCAGGCCACAGAGCAGCUUGGGUUGGAAGAGAGAAGAUGAAGGGACAUCCUUGGGGCUGUGCCGUGAGUUUUGCUGGCAUAGGUGACAGGGUGUGUCUCUGACAGUGGUAAAUCGGGUUUCCAGAGUUUGGUCACCAAAAAUACAAAAUACACACAAUUAAUUGGACACAGCAAUCUGAAAUCAUCUCUAGUCUUGCUUUCACUUGUGAGCAAUUGUCUUCUAUGAUCCCAAAGAAGUUUUCUAAGUGAAAGGAAAUACUAGUGAAUCACCCACAAGGAAAAGCCACUGCCACAGAGGAGGCGGGUCCCCUUGUGCGGCUUAGGGCCCUGUCAGGAAACACACGGGGACCUCUCUCUCUAGCUCCAGCAGGUGGCACCUCGGUACCCAGCGGGUAGGGCGAUAAUUUAUAUAUUUUCCACAGUCAGGGAAGGACUCUCACUUAUUUGUUUCAAAUUGCAGUUUUUAUAAAACAUUUUUAAAACACAAAUGGCAUGUAUGCUAAUGAGAUUUACCCGUGUGCUAUCUGUAUUUCCCUUGUACAGAACUUUUACAUUUUUGAAUAUUCCUAUUACUUUUGAUUGUGUCUGAUGGGAACCGAGUUGUUGGCCUUUGUGAAAUGAAAUUUUUGGCUCUUGAGAAAGAAUUCUUAUGAAUUGUUAUGCGAAUUUUAUAUAUUUAAAGAGGGAGAUCUGGGGCUGUUAUUUUUAAACACUUUUUUUCAUAAUACAUAUUCCGAGUAGAUAUUUAUAAAAUAUAUGUUUCUUUCAUUAUGUGUUUGUAAAAUUAGAGUUUAAAUAAAUAUGCUUUGAUGCAUAGUUUUGAACUAAUGUAACAUGAUUUUUCUUUUUUAAAACAGCCUGAAAAUGUACUAGUGUUUAAAAAUAAAGAUUUCCAUUUUCUCCA
Molecule: RNA transcript, 6460 nt
Organism: Pan troglodytes (chimpanzee)
Lineage: Eukaryota; Metazoa; Chordata; Mammalia; Primates; Hominidae
Gene: KDM4C
Gene name: lysine demethylase 4C
Exons: 23
Source: RefSeq, a predicted model, not a curated record